Molecule: long non-coding RNA, 1479 nt
Filed under: Dunaliella salina
Lineage: Eukaryota; Viridiplantae; Chlorophyta; Chlorophyceae; Chlamydomonadales; Dunaliellaceae
Description: long non-coding RNA (DSAL_LNC000340)
Source: RNAcentral
CCUCGUAGUCAGUGCGGGUAUAGGUUGCCCUGCUCCGGUCGUAAUUUUUCUUGAUCCCCUCGAAGGCUUGAGGGUUUGCAGAGGCAAGACGGGAAGCCUCUGCCGCAGGGUCGUCCGCAGCUGCUGUCCAAAUCAAGUCUGCGGUACAAGAGUUUGCAACGUGUAGGACACAAAUUCAUGGUUGGGUCGUUUGCAGCUGCUGUCCUACUCAAGUCUGCGGUGCAAGGGUUUGGAACAUGCAAGACCAUGUAACGACAUGCAACUUCAUAGAGACACCCCUGGAAACAGCAGGAGCCUCUGUGAGUGAGGAACCUCAGAUGGUCUGCAGCACAGCAGGAGGCAACUGUCCAAAGCCUGUGUAUGUAUGGAACCUCAGAAAGAUGUCUGCAGCACAGCAGGAAGCAAAUAUCAGAAACCUGUGCGAAAAUGGAAUCUCAGAAAGAUAGCCUGCAGCACAGCAGGAGGCAACUGUCCAAAGCCUGUGUAUGUAUGGAACCUCAGAAAGAUGUCUGCAGCACAGUGGGAGGCCAAUUUCAGAAGCCCGUGCAAAAAUGGAAUCUCAGAAAGAUAGCCUGCAGCACAGCAGGAGGCAACUGUCAAAAGCCUGUGUAAGUAUGGAAUCUCAGAAAGAUGUCUGCAGCACAGUGGGAGGCCAAUUUCAGAAGCCUGUGCAAAAAUGGAAUUUCAGAUAGUCUGUGUUUAGCAGAGCAGGAGACGAAUGUCAGAAGCCUGCACAAAAAUGGAAACUCAGAAAGGUAGUCUGAAGCUAGGGUCAAAUCAUCUGACCCCCCCCCAACCUUUAACACCCCACCCCCCUCUCUCUCUACCUCUCUCACUCUCACUCUCACUCUCACUCUCACACACACACACACACACACACACACACACACACACACACACACACACACACACACACUCUCUCUCUCUCUCUCUCUCUCUCUCUCUCUCUCUCUCUCUCUCUCUCUCUCUCUCUCUCUCUCUCUCUCUCCCUCUCCCCCUCCCCCCCCCCCCCCCCCCCCCCCCCCCCCCCCCCCCCCCCCCCCCCCCCCCCCCCCCCCCCCCCCCUCCCCCCCCCCCUACCCCUACCUACCUACCUUACCCCCCCCCCCCUCUUUCUCUCUGUCUGUGCAUACUUUCUAGCUCUCACUCCAUUUUGUUUCACACUAUGUUGGAGGAGGCAGAGUCCACCAGAAGUGACAGCCCAGGGGGUGGCAAAACCCAGGAGCAGGAAGCCUGGAAGGGCCUGUCUGGGUUGCCAAGUGGCAGAAUGACAGAAAACUGAAAAUACAGCAUGAACUUAGUGAUGCUUUAGGAGACCGCCCUGCUCUGCCGAUGACAUGUUGCACCCUUCUGCUGGGGUUGAUCAGCUCAGCAUGGUGGACCCUGAACUCACAGCCAGGUUUCUCCCAGAAUGGGGGCUUGGGUGUAAGAGGUCCCGCGCCAGCUCCCGGCUUGGCCCCCAGCUUCAGUAGCCACUCC